AACGAACGCUGGCGGCAGGCUUAACACAUGCAAGUCGAGCGAGACCUUCGGGUCUAGCGGCGGACGGGUGAGUAACGCGUGGGAACGUGCCCUUCUCUACGGAAUAGCCCCGGGAAACUGGGAGUAAUACCGUAUACGCCCUUUGGGGGAAAGAUUUAUCGGAGAAGGAUCGGCCCGCGUUGGAUUAGGUAGUUGGUGGGGUAAUGGCCCACCAAGCCGACGAUCCAUAGCUGGUUUGAGAGGAUGAUCAGCCACACUGGGACUGAGACACGGCCCAGACUCCUACGGGAGGCAGCAGUGGGGAAUCUUAGACAAUGGGGGCAACCCUGAUCUAGCCAUGCCGCGUGAGUGAUGAAGGCCUUAGGGUUGUAAAGCUCUUUCAGCUGGGAAGAUAAUGACGGGACCAGCAGAAGAAGCCCCGGCGAACUCCGU
Molecule: ribosomal RNA, 432 nt
Filed under: uncultured bacterium
Lineage: Bacteria
Description: partial 16S ribosomal RNA
Rfam family: Bacterial small subunit ribosomal RNA
Source: RNAcentral